Molecule: RNA transcript, 3194 nt
Organism: Cryptotermes secundus
Lineage: Eukaryota; Metazoa; Arthropoda; Insecta; Blattodea; Kalotermitidae
Gene name: putative gustatory receptor 28b
Exons: 6
Source: RefSeq, a predicted model, not a curated record
AUUGUUUUAUAGUAUCGAACAAAUUGUAUUUACGAAGAAAAAUUAAUCAAUUCUUUCACUUUGAACAGUUAUGAAUAAUUACAGUUUUCUUAUUAAGUCGGAUACCACAACUUUUCGCCGUAAAAAAUAAGCUUGUUAUGAAAAUUUGCAAGAAGCCUCGGAUCUGGACGGAUUCCUUGGACAAACGACCUAAGCAAAAGAAAAUGGGCAUGAGAUUUUGUAUAAAGAGUGACGAAGCCCAUGCAGAGAAUACGGCUGCUAGCAUUAACAUCAAUGCGUACCCCAAGAUUCUCCUGACAAGAAAAAAUGCAAUCGGUGCAAAGAUUGACGCGACCCCCAUCAAGAGCACGGCUGCUACCACGAAGAGCCCUCCAUAAGUCCAGCGUCUCCUGUGUCAAGAAAAGAUGCAAUCAUUAAGGGCUAAUAGAACUGCUGUCUUGGUCCAUAAGCUGCUUAACAAGACCAAAGAUCCCGGACUAAAGGAAGAGCUGCAGUUGUUCUCGCUACAGCUGCUACAUCGGAAAGUCCACUUCACAGCUUUCGGAUUCUUUCCUCUAGAUUUCACUCUUCUUUACUCGAUCACCGGGGCAGUGACAACGUACUUGGUGAUCUUAAUACAGUUUCAGCUCUCCUUCGCAAACCCAAAACAGAAUGCCACAGUCUCAUCUACUCUGCCUGCCACCAUGAGUUCAGAUUUCUUCACACCAACUUUGUCGCCCUAGUUUAAUCAGGUUGCUUUGCCCACAGCACAAUAAGCAAUGUAACUAACUGGAUAAGUAUGUCCCGUAACACAGUGUUUGUUUGUGCGAGCGUGGUCUAAGGCAUUAGGGUCAGAGGCUUCUUCCGGCAAGUCAGGUCCACUUAAUCUAUUUUUGUUGUUCCUUUUCUUUAUUGCGACAUGUAAAAAUGUAAUUUUGCUUGUAGUUUUGUAUGGGUGUUAAACCUGGUUUCUGAUAUUAAGGGAGGAACACAGACCAGGGUACUGAGGAGAAUAAUUCAACUUUAGAGGAAUGAAAUCAUAGGAGGUUGCAGAAAACUGCAUGAUGAGGAGAUCCCCAACUUCUAUUCUUCGCUAAAAAUAAUUAGAGUGAAGCCAAUGAGGAUGAGAUGGGUCAGAAUGUAGCAUGCAUGGAAGGGUAGAGGACUGGAUACAGGGUUUUGAAAGGAAAUCAAAAAGAAGAGACCACGCAAAACCUAGAUGUAGGUGGGAGGGUAAAGAGAUAAUGGAUCUUAGAGGAAUAGGAUUGAGUACUAUGGACUGGCUUCAACUGGCUCAGAGCAGGAAGGGCUACUGUUAACAUGGUAAUAAAUCUUUGGUUACAUAAACUGUUGAGAAAUUCUUGUGUAGAUGAGCAGCCCAUGGCUUCUCAAGGCAGAAACAGCUCCAUGGAGUAAGUUAGUUGAGUUUACUCUCUACUUUCUUCAGUCCUGAUGUUACACUUUUGUAUGUAUGAGUUCCCUUCUCUGCAGUCUAGAAACUCAUUGUAAUGGAAAAUUGUACAUAAUAAUGUCAUUUCUCUGCUAAAGCACUGAAUAAUUUAUGUGGUUCCUCUGAUUUGUCGUGUAACGUGUUCUGUGUUCCUGAUGCAGGCAAUAAGACGCUACAUAAUGCCUACACUUAUUCUGAGAGAACUCUUGUUUAAUGAAGCAUAUGCUUGUGUUCAUAUUCCUUCAGUGCUUGCAGUCUUGAGGUACAGCAUAUGCCACAACAGAGCAUUCACCACUCGAAGACGCCUUUUCUCUAUGUUCAGUGUGCAUGGCAAUCUAAUAUAUUUGUACAAUUGUAACCUCACCAGAUUUUGCACAUAAUAAGUCUGCUGGUGAUUGCUGUCUUUGUUGUAUUUAAUUUUAUUACUUAUUUUUUUCCAAUUUUUAAUGAACUAUUUCCUUUAGUUAGUUUUAUUACCAUUAAUGCUAUUUUGUCGACCAAAUUAAUCAUCAAUUGCACCAUUAUCUGAAAAAUAUUCAAAUAGUAACCCCAGAAGCUCUAUUACUCACAGAUCUUUAUUAUAAAAGCUGUCAGGAGAAUGAAUGCAGUGUUAAUAUGGCAGCUAUGUUAUUUCCAGUUCUUCACUAAAAGGGUCUUUAUCACAUCUGGUUGUAUUUCGAUGAUACAACAUUGCAUACACAAUUCAGGAACUCACAUUAAAUGGCACAACUGUCACUUGCAUGCUGGGAGUUGGCACAGCCUCCAUACUUCAAUUAUUUAUGUUAAGUAAUUAAAAAUUAGGCAGGUAUUAAGCACCAUGUUUACGCAAAACUUCAUAAAGUUUAUUAAGGUUGAGAAAAUGUAGAGAAUUAUGUGUGUGCAUGUGCACACACAUGAAUAUAGCUCUGGUUUUGCUACAGACCAGACCUAUAUAUCAUUAUACAGUAAUUGUAUACUUUAAGAAUGGAACUGUAUACAUUUACAGAUGUGUAAUGAAGUUGGUCAGUAGAUCAUUCCAGUUUAGGAUUAGAGAAUGAUGUCCCAACAGAUACAAUCUUGAGUUAAAUUUCAUUAUGUUUGAAGAGCUCAUUAUCACUGUUAAUGUGCUCCAAUAUAUUUAUGAAAGUGGAUGUUGUUAUAAUGACAAAUGUAUGAUUAGAAAGUAUGUAACAUUUGUGAAACAGAAGAAAUUGUUGUUAACUUUUCUAUGUUCAAGAUGACCUGUAAAAUUAAAUUAAAUACUCAUUCUCUCAUUAUUCCCACUUACCUGACAGCAUAGGUCAUAGUAAAAUUAAAAAGAAAAUAGGUUAUACUAUUAAUACUCUUACAUGUCAAACAAUUGAAAGGAAGACAAAAUCUUCACAUGGUUGCUAUGUUAUUGUUUCACAGCCUGCAAGUGAUUAGAUAAAAUCUGUGUAUAGUCUGAAGAUUUAUUAGCAUUCAUAUCUUCAGGUUUAAAUGCUGUUAAUGUCAUCCUCACCUCACAAGCUGGUGAGCCUCCCAUGUGGUUAUUAUUUACUGUCACAAACUAAGAAGGUUAAUGUUACAGUGUGGGCAGCCAUAUGCAACAAACAUAAGCAGCAUGGUGGUGUUACAGCUCAAUUCAUUCACUUAAGACUUUUCAUCAUACGGCCCCAUUGUGAAAGGUAUCUCAUGUAACAUUCUUCAGUUCUUAGAACCAUUAUGUAAUAAAGAGUUCACGAAAUAAGUAAAGUUGUCCCUGUGCUUAACUAAUUAAGCACUAUGGCAUAAGGCAUACAUGGGU